GCCGGUUCUAGCGAGUCGGCUCUCCUUAAAUGCAUUAGCAAGAUUAAUCGCUGGUAUUAUCUUUGAUAUGAUAAUUAUCUAUAUCAUGGAUGAAACAAGUGUUUUCCUUCAUGGAAAGAUCUGGCUUUCUAAUCGUCUUUCGAGACAACUAGAUUGAAUCAUUUGACCUCAAAUCAGGUAGGACUACCCGCUGAACUUAA
Molecule: unclassified non-coding RNA, 200 nt
Filed under: soil metagenome
Description: partial contains internal transcribed spacer 2 and large subunit ribosomal RNA
Source: RNAcentral